GGUACGCGCGGCGACUGGCGUACGGGGAAGCGACCCCGGGGAAGCCGUGCGCGGCAGAUCACACGAGGGUGCCGCCCGCCUGGGCACCCGGA
RNAcentral lists this non-coding RNA (92 nucleotides) under Streptomyces sp. RNAcentral's name for it is "ZTP sequence". It matches the Rfam family "ZMP/ZTP riboswitch aptamer (pfl RNA motif)". Rfam says of the family: Previously known as pfl RNA. The record is from RNAcentral. RNAcentral also lists the same sequence under 1 other name. Lineage: Bacteria; Bacillati; Actinomycetota; Actinomycetes; Kitasatosporales; Streptomycetaceae.